CAGCCAUCUGGCUUCAAGCUUUCACGAAAGAUAGCUUUGGUAAUCGUAUGUUCACCUAUUCGUACUAUGGUAUGGCUGCCAUUGCUGUCAUUGUCCACAUUUAAAAUAUUGGCUUUGUAAAAUGGAUCCCAAAGAUCCAGCGGCCAAAGUAUGAAAAGAUGAAACAUUGGGUUAGGAAAAAUGGAAUUGAUUCGAAAACUACUGCAACAAUACUGCUUCAUGUUUACCUCUUUGUGAGUGUAUUGAAGGUUCCGAGGCUGCACUGAAUUGAUUCCCGUUUUCCGUCUGGCACCAUACAUUUCACAUCAUCAAGAUGAUCAGCCAUUUCCUUCAUAAUUGCAUGAAUUUCCUCUUCAAACUCCAGAAAAGACCUAUUUUGC
Molecule: long non-coding RNA, 380 nt
Filed under: Sorghum bicolor (sorghum)
Lineage: Eukaryota; Viridiplantae; Streptophyta; Magnoliopsida; Poales; Poaceae
Description: long non-coding RNA (SBIC_LNC013350)
Source: RNAcentral